This is a non-coding RNA of Flavobacterium sp. ov086, 87 nucleotides long. NCBI's taxonomy places the organism in Bacteria, Pseudomonadati, Bacteroidota, Flavobacteriia, Flavobacteriales, Flavobacteriaceae. The record is from Rfam.
GCCUAGCCCCGAUGGAAAUGGCAUCCUUUUAUGGCAGUCCCGAGGCUUCGGGAGCCAUAAAAGAUAGAAUGGACAUCGGGAAAAAAG